AUUGAACGCUGGCGGCAUGCCUAACACAUGCAAGUCGAACGAGUGGCGGACGGGUGAGUAAUGUCUGGGAAACUGCCUGGUGGAGGGGGAUAACUACUGGAAAGGGUAGCUAAUACCGCAUACCAUCGGAUCUGCCCAGAUGGGAUUAGCUAGUAGGUGGGGUAAAGGCUCACCUAGGCGACGAUCCCUAGCUGGUCUGAGAGGAUGACCAGCCACACUGGGACUGAGACACGGUCCAGACUCCUACGGGAGGCAGCAGUGGGGAAUAUUGGACAAUGGGCGCAAGCCUGAUGCAGCCAUGCCGCGUGUAUGAAGAAGGCCUUCGGGUUGUAAAGUACUUUCAGCAGGGAGGCGUUACCCGCAGAAGAAGCACCGGCUAACUCCGUGCCAGCCGCCGCGGUAAUUC
RNAcentral lists this ribosomal RNA (406 nucleotides) under uncultured bacterium. Its description in RNAcentral is "partial 16S ribosomal RNA". It matches the Rfam family "Bacterial small subunit ribosomal RNA", at positions 30 to 526 of the family's 1533-position model. The record is from RNAcentral.